UGGUACCAUAUAAAAAUGGAGUGAAAUAUAUUUUCUAUGUAUUCAAAGAAUAAUGAUACAGAGAUAUAUACAAGGUGCUGAGAGCCUAAUUUGGAAUAAAUACUAAAAUCAAGUCUAUGAUGCAUCUAAUCCCUUUGAUAUAGCAAUUACAGUUAUUACAAAUAAGUGUAUCCCUGUUAAUUAGUGAUUUGCUGUUACGCUUUCUUUAAUAAAU
RNAcentral lists this long non-coding RNA (214 nucleotides) under Trifolium pratense (red clover). RNAcentral describes it as "long non-coding RNA (TPRA_LNC009135)". The record is from RNAcentral. Lineage: Eukaryota; Viridiplantae; Streptophyta; Magnoliopsida; Fabales; Fabaceae.